UACGUAGGUGGCAAGCGUUGUUCGGAAUUAUUGGGCGUAAAGGGCGCGUAGGCGGUUUGUUAAGUCGGCUGUGAAAGCCCGGGGCUCAACCCCGGAGGGUCAGCCGAUACUGGCAGGCUAGAGUACAGAAGAGGUAACUGGAAUUCCCGGUGUAGCGGUGAAAUGCGUAGAUAUGCGGAGGAACACCGAUGGCGAAGGCAAUCCCCCGGGCCUGCACUGACGCUCAUGCACGAAAGCGUGGGGAGCAAACAGG
This 253-nucleotide ribosomal RNA is filed under the name uncultured bacterium. RNAcentral's name for it is "partial 16S ribosomal RNA". It matches the Rfam family "Bacterial small subunit ribosomal RNA", at positions 524 to 776 of the family's 1533-position model. The record is from RNAcentral.